UGGGGAAUAUUGCACAAUGGGCGCAAGCCUGAUGCAGCCAUGCCGCGUGUGUGAAGAAGGCCUUCGGGUUGUAAAGCACUUUCAGCGAGGAGGAAAGGUUGUUGGUUAAUACCCAGCAGCUGUGACGUUACUCGCAGAAGAAGCACCGGCUAACUCCGUGCCAGCAGCCGCGGUAAUACGGAGGGUGCGAGCGUUAAUCGGAAUUACUGGGCGUAAAGCGUACGCAGGCGGUUUGUUAAGCGAGAUGUGAAAGCCCCGGGCUUAACCUGGGAACUGCAUUUCGAACUGACAAACUAGAGUUUUGUAGAGGGUGGUAGAAUUUCAGGUGUAGCGGUGAAAUGCGUAGAGAUCUGAAGGAAUACCAGUGGCGAAGGCGGCCACCUGGACAAUAACUGACGCUCAUGUACGAAAGCGUGGGGAGCAAACAGGAUUAGAUACCCCCGUAGUCC
This 449-nucleotide ribosomal RNA is filed under the name uncultured prokaryote. RNAcentral describes it as "bacterial SSU rRNA". It matches the Rfam family "Bacterial small subunit ribosomal RNA", at positions 355 to 796 of the family's 1533-position model. The record is from RNAcentral.